This 374-nucleotide ribosomal RNA is filed under the name uncultured organism. RNAcentral's name for it is "bacterial SSU rRNA". It matches the Rfam family "Bacterial small subunit ribosomal RNA", at positions 525 to 896 of the family's 1533-position model. The record is from RNAcentral.
CGAGAGGGUGCGAACGUUGUUCGGAAUUACUGGGCGUAAAGCGCGUGUAGGCGGCAACGCAAGUCGGGCGUGAAAUCCCACGGCUCAACCGUGGAAGUGCACUCGAAACUGCGUAGCUAGAGUCCUGGAGAGGAAGGUGGGAAUGCUUGGUGUAGAGGUGAAAUUCGUAGAUAUCAAGCGGAACACCGGUGGCGAAGGCGGCCUUCUGGACAGUGACUGACGCUGAGACGCGAAAGCGUGGGGAGCAAACAGGAUUAGAUACCCUGGUAGUCCACGCCGUAAACGAUGAGUGCUAGGUGUCACGGGCUUUGACCCUCGUGGUGCCGAAGCUAACGCGUUUAGCACUCCGCCUGGGGAGUACGGCCGCAAGGCUA